AAAGCGGGUGGCUCCGCCCCGGUGUGGCUGGGCCUGCGGGAGCGGAGCGGCGUGAGGGGUCCUGAUGACAUCUUUAUAUUGAUUUCUCCCUUCCUGUGGAGAAGGAAGCAUCAAUGGGAAAUAUAUACCUAGGAGUAUGUUCUAGUGGUUUUCCCUUAACAGGAGAAGCCUCUUUGUUUCUGUUAAGGAAGUAACAAAAACCUCAGUUGUUUCAUGCUCUGAUUUUUGAGCACUGCCUAGAUGAGCUGUGAAUGUGCCUUGGGUUCACUAAAGAAUUUUUAAAAGACUUGCAAAGUCCUGGCAGUAGGAUACUGAACAACUCCAGUGCUGCUGUUAAUGUUGAUGAAAUUGUGCUGAGCAACACCAAAGCAUCCUGAGGGCAUAUGUGGUACAUGACUAUAAUCACAAAUUAGUAUGUAAGUCCAAAGGUUGGUUUAAUAAAGUUGGUGCUCCCUGAAAAAACUUUUCUUGUCAAUCUUUAACCCAUCAUGGUUUUAAGAACAGUUAAAAAGCAGAUAAAUGGGAAUUUUUCUAUAACCACAAUUGGUUUUAUAGCUUUAUUUUAGAGCAAGAAACCUGACAAAUGAGUGUUUAUUUGGCUGCUAAGAACAGGAAGUUUCAAAGGAGUCAAAUACAAGUUGGCAUCCUGCAGCCAUCUCCAGGAACACACAAAAUCUGCCAGGUGAAGAAGGAUAUUGGAGAUUUUUAUCUUCUGAAGCAGAGCUAAAGUGGAGGGAAAAUGAGAUGCCUGGUUCAG
Molecule: long non-coding RNA, 757 nt
Organism: Catharus ustulatus (Swainson's thrush)
Lineage: Eukaryota; Metazoa; Chordata; Aves; Passeriformes; Turdidae
Exons: 3
Source: RefSeq, a predicted model, not a curated record